RNAcentral lists this ribosomal RNA (465 nucleotides) under uncultured bacterium. RNAcentral's name for it is "bacterial SSU rRNA". It matches the Rfam family "Bacterial small subunit ribosomal RNA", at positions 328 to 792 of the family's 1533-position model. The record is from RNAcentral.
AGGCCAGACUCCUACGGGAGGCAGCAGUGAGGAAUAUUGGUCAAUGGGCGAGAGCCUGAACCAGCCAAGUCGCGUGAGGGAGGACGGCCCUACGGGUUGUAAACCUCUUUUGCCGGGGGACAAACGGCGGCACGCGUGCCGUCCUGAGGGUACCCGGAGAAAAAGCAUCGGCUAACUCCGUGCCAGCAGCCGCGGUAAUACGGAGGAUGCGAGCGUUAUCCGGAUUUAUUGGGUUUAAAGGUGCGUAGGCGGGAUGCCAAGUCAGCGGUCAAAUACGGGGGCUCAACCCCAUCCAGCCGUUGAAACUGGGGAUCUAGAGUGUGCGAGAGGUAUGCGGAAUGCGUGGUGUAGCGGUGAAAUGCAUAGAUAUCGCGCAGAACCCCGAUUGCGAAGGCAGCAUACCGGUGCACAACUGACGCUCAGGCACGAAAGCGUGGGUAUCGAACAGGAUUAGAUACCCUGGUA